ACAAGCAGCGGAGCGUGUGGUUAAUUCGAGGCUACACGAAGAACCUUACCAGGGUUGACAUGCAAGUGGUAGGAAUCCGAAAGGUGACCGACCCUUCGGGAGCUUGCACAGGUGCUGCAUGGCUGUCGUCAGCUCGUGUCGUGAGAUGUUCGGUUAAGUCCGCUAACGAGCGCAACCCUCGUCGUAUGUUAUAUGUGUCAUACGAGACUGCCGGUAAAAGCCGGAGGAAGGUGAGGAUGAUGUCAAGUCAGCAUGACCUUUAUAUCCAGGGCUACACACACGCUACAAUGGUCUGUACAAUGGGUAGCCAAGCCGCGAGGCGGAGCCAAUCCUGAAAGCAGGCCUCAGUUCAGAUUGCAGUCUGCAACUCGACUGCAUGAAGCCGGAGUUGCUAGUAACCGCAGGUCAGCAAUACUGCGGUGAAUACGUUCCCGGGUCUU
This 440-nucleotide ribosomal RNA is filed under the name uncultured Anaerolineaceae bacterium. Its description in RNAcentral is "bacterial SSU rRNA". It matches the Rfam family "Bacterial small subunit ribosomal RNA", at positions 925 to 1382 of the family's 1533-position model. The record is from RNAcentral. Lineage: Bacteria; Bacillati; Chloroflexota; Anaerolineae; Anaerolineales; Anaerolineaceae.